Molecule: ribosomal RNA, 650 nt
Filed under: bacterium HUBAS6
Lineage: Bacteria
Description: bacterial SSU rRNA
Rfam family: Bacterial small subunit ribosomal RNA
Source: RNAcentral
AUGGGGAUCUGCCCGAUAGAGGGGGNUAACUACUGGAAACGGUGGCUAAUACCGCAUAAUGUCUACGGACCAAAGCAGGGGCUCUUCGGACCUUGCACUAUCGGAUGAACCCAUAUGGGAUUAGCUAGUAGGUGGGGUAAAGGCUCACCUAGGCGACGAUCUCUAGCUGGUCUGAGAGGAUGAUCAGCCACACUGGGACUGAGACACGGCCCANACUCCUACGGGAGGCAGCAGUGGGGAAUAUUGCACAAUGGGCGCAAGCCUGAUGCAGCCAUGCCGCGUGUAUGAAGAAGGCCUUAGGGUUGUAAAGUACUUUCAGCGGGGAGGAAGGUGAUAAGGUUAAUACCCUUAUCAAUUGACGUUACCCGCAGAAGAAGCACCGGCUAACUCCGUGCCAGCAGCCGCGGUAAUACGGAGGGUGCAAGCGUUAAUCGGAAUUACUGGGCGUAAAGCGCACGCAGGCGGUCAAUUAAGUCAGAUGUGAAAGCCCCGAGCUUAACUUGGGAAUUGCAUCUGAAACUGGUUGGCUAGAGUCUUGUAGAGGGGGGUAGAAUUCCAUGUGUAGCGGUGAAAUGCGUAGAGAUGUGGAGGAAUACCGGUGGCGAAGGCGGCCCCCUGGACAAAGACUGACGCUCAGGUGCGAAAGCGUG